Molecule: ribosomal RNA, 429 nt
Filed under: Bacillus sp. R-27598
Lineage: Bacteria; Bacillati; Bacillota; Bacilli; Caryophanales; Bacillaceae
Description: bacterial SSU rRNA
Rfam family: Bacterial small subunit ribosomal RNA
Source: RNAcentral
GACGAACGCUGGCGGCGUGCCUAAUACAUGCAAGUCGAGCGGACAGAAGGGAGCUUGCUCCCRGAUGUUAGCGGCGGACGGGUGAGUAACACGUGGGUAACCUGCCUGUAAGACUGGGAUAACUCCGGGAAACCGGAGCUAAUACCGGAUAGUUCCUUGAACCGCAUGGUUCAAGGAUGAAAGACGGUUUCGGCUGUCACUUACAGAUGGACCCGCGGCGCAUUAGCUAGUUGGUGGGGUAAUGGCUCACCAAGGCGACGAUGCGUAGCCGACCUGAGAGGGUGAUCGGCCACACUGGGACUGAGACACGGCCCAGACUCCUACGGGAGGCAGCAGUAGGGAAUCUUCCGCAAUGGACGAAAGUCUGACGGAGCAACGCCGCGUGAGUGAUGAAGGUUUUCGGAUCGUAAAGCUCUGUUGUUAGGGAAG